RNAcentral lists this transfer RNA (76 nucleotides) under Candidatus Thorarchaeota archaeon. RNAcentral describes it as "tRNA-Thr". It matches the Rfam family "tRNA". From Rfam's summary of the family: Transfer RNA (tRNA) molecules are approximately 80 nucleotides in length. Their secondary structure includes four short double-helical elements and three loops (D, anti-codon, and T loops). Lineage: Archaea; Promethearchaeati; Candidatus Thorarchaeota. The record is from RNAcentral.
GCCUCGGUGGCCAAGUGGUUACGGCGACUGCCUCGUAAGCAGUAGAUCGCGGGUUCGAAUCCCGCCCGGGGCUCCA